RNAcentral lists this unclassified non-coding RNA (139 nucleotides) under uncultured fungus. RNAcentral's name for it is "sequence contains ITS1". Lineage: Eukaryota; Fungi. The record is from RNAcentral.
GUAUCCCUUCGCUGCCAACCUUUCCGACUCCGACUUCGCGUCAAAAAUGAACCGUUCACGUGUGGUUGAGAUCGCUGAGGCGGAGACUGGCUCCACCUCACCAUCUUUAAUGAUCCUUCCGCAGGUUCACCUACGGAAA